This 2248-nucleotide ribosomal RNA is filed under the name Triticum aestivum (bread wheat). RNAcentral describes it as "partial small subunit ribosomal RNA". The record is from RNAcentral. Lineage: Eukaryota; Viridiplantae; Streptophyta; Magnoliopsida; Poales; Poaceae.
GUUUAACGAGUUUGGGGGUUGAAAGGAGUGGGGAUCCGCGACCGCCACGACGUAAGGGCUUGAUGGCUUCAGUUAGCCGCCGCCGCGCCGCGGACGUGCAGCUGCCGACGGAAGAGUUCGCGCCUCGGACGUGUAGCCGCCGACUGAACUGGGCGCAUGCGGGGUGGAAGGAUCGAAGAGGACGGGGCGAAGUAGGUGGGGCGACGAGCCGACGCGGCAGGACGGGGCGCUGCGGCCUCUUGAGGCCGCCAACGGAGAGAACGAGGGCGUGCGGCGUGGUCGGAUUCGAGACGGCCGACUGACUCCACUCGACCUGUCCCUAAUGAACGAAGAAACCCCAAAACGCCUAUGGGAAGGCCUCCGGACGUUGACUUUCUCUUCGGAGAGGAAGGAGAAGGCAGAGCAGUCCGUUCGAAGGGGAGGAGAAAGGCGGCUCCUCCUCUACCGCGGUGAGCGUGGGUUCGCGGCGUUCCGUCGUGGAAGGGGAAGAGGAGGGGAAAGCCUCCGAAGAAGGCUGAGGCCGUCGCUGAGGCUGGAGUUGGAGGUGCUGUUGAGGCUGGGUCUCCUGCCGAAGAAGGGGCGUCCCUCGCGACGGUUACUGCCGCUGGUUCUAAAGAGACUGUCGCUGCUCCUCUCGCUGGUACUCCUCCUCUCGCUGGUACUUCUCCUCCUACUACCACUCGACCCCCUCGAGCUCCUCCUCAUAGCGUGGGAGGUCCGGUUAGUUGUUUCGUAAGAAGUCUGGAACUUUGUCGUGUCCCUACUACUACAGAGCUCUCCGGUCCGUCAGUUUUUGGUUUUACGCGAUACCCUAUUCUGGGACCUUUACUCUAAGAACGACGUUUUCCGUAAAUGGUGAAGUUUGUUCGAAGGGUUCCUAGGGUGGUUCAGUUCCAAGACGUCAGUGCUAUUCCUCUAUCUCGUUCGUAUGCAACUAGACAACCUGAGCAGCUUUGUCUGAGAACCGAGGUACGAACUCGACGUCCUCCGAAAUGAUCUCGCCUUGGUCCGGCGUUUCCCACACUUUCUACGAAACGGAUUAAGUUGACCUCUCUUACUGCUCACCAACGUUUACGUCUUUCACGUCUGUUCUUAUUGGGACAAGUCUUUAUGACUCUAUCUAUUUACCGUCUCCUUUUGUGUCCAGUGUUGACCGCGACGACGUGACUUUCCUUUCAACGUGCGUAAAUUAGUCUUUUAUUCACUGGUUCAACGACCAAUAUACUCCCUGGGUUCGUCCUACUAAUUGUCCUACAUGGACGCCUUUAGACUACAACCACAUAAACCCCUCUCACGUCGUGUCGGACGAUGACGACAACUCCCGUUUCUACACCUUCCACUAGGACUUGAGUAGCUACUAAGACUUAAAAUAGUAGUUGAAGAGUUCCUCAAAGAGCUCAGUACACUAUGCCCCCGUAGACUUAGGCGUAAAAUACGAGACUCCUUCUUCGUCGUGUUCUUCUCUUUUGAACAACUGGCGGCACGAAGCUUCUCGUCUUUCUAUUCCAUGUCACAGGUGCUCUUCUAACGAUUAAAGUACCGGGGCCAUGGCUACUGUCAAGGAGGCUACCGAAGUUUUAACAAACUCUUAAAUAAACCUUACCCGUUGGUUUUCCGGGGACGCCAGACUAAAUUCUUUGCUAAGUUUUUAAACUGUAGUCUUCUUCUAAAUCGAUAAGGAAGAAUGCAUGAAGGAGGCAAGGUGUUAUAUUCUAGUAAAGUUGGAUACAAUCGAACUUUUUGCAAGAAUAUAACACCCUGCCUCCCUCUUCAAAAUUUGACAUUAUACACUACCGGAAUGACGAUCUUCUCGUCACUUCGUUUUAACAACAUAGAAACCCGGAUCUUUCGCGUAAAGAUAAAAUGCAUCAAAGACACACUACCUACCAUAUUAAGUCUAAGUGUACCCUCACUAUAUCUAGAGAUGACGACUUUGACCUCUACCCGGUCGUAUGUUACAGGGAAGACCUCCCACGUGGUUGAACGCCAAGACGCGCCGACGGUAUAGAAAGAAGUCGACCCAGUUUUAACAAAACGAUCGUGUGACUUGAAGAAGCCCAGUUGGACGUAGUUGUGCCGUUGGUUACUUUUUGUCAGAAAAUACGUACCUAACUGUACCUCGUUCCUUCUCUACUUCAUUAGAACUUACAUUAGAUUGUCUACCACGGAAGAACCCCAUCAGAAACAGUGUCUUGUCGAAGUCGACCAACUACACUGAGAGUACCUGUCAGCCAACACAUUCUAUUUU